UACGGGGGGUGCAAGCGUUGUUCGGAUUUACUGGGCGUAAAGGGCGCGUAGGCGGUCAGCACAAGUCAGUUGUGAAAUCUCCGGGCUUAACUCGGAAAGGUCAACUGAUACUGUGCGACUAGAGUGCAGAAGGGGCAACUGGAAUUCUCGGUGUAGCGGUGAAAUGCGUAGAUAUCGAGAGGAACACCUGCGGCGAAGGCGGGUUGCUGGGCUGACACUGACGCUGAGGCGCGAAAGCCAGGGGAGCGAACGGG
This 254-nucleotide ribosomal RNA is filed under the name uncultured bacterium. RNAcentral describes it as "partial 16S ribosomal RNA". It matches the Rfam family "Bacterial small subunit ribosomal RNA", at positions 524 to 776 of the family's 1533-position model. The record is from RNAcentral.